This 280-nucleotide ribosomal RNA is filed under the name uncultured bacterium. RNAcentral's name for it is "partial 16S ribosomal RNA". It matches the Rfam family "Bacterial small subunit ribosomal RNA", at positions 355 to 625 of the family's 1533-position model. The record is from RNAcentral.
UAGGGAAUCUUCGGCAAUGGGGGCAACCCUGACCGAGCAACGCCGCGUGAGUGAAGAAGGUUUUUCGGAUCGUAAAGCUCUGUUGUAAGUCAAGAACGGGUGUGAGAGUGGAAAGUUCACACUGUGACGGUAGCUUACCAGAAAGGGACGGCUAACUACGUGCCAGCAGCCGCGGUAAUACGUAGGUCCCGAGCGUUGUCCGGAUUUAUUGGGCGUAAAGCGAGCGCAGGCGGUUUGAUAAGUCUGAAGUUGAAAGGCUGUGGCUCAACCAUAGUUCGCU